Molecule: non-coding RNA, 774 nt
Organism: Coffea arabica (coffee)
Lineage: Eukaryota; Viridiplantae; Streptophyta; Magnoliopsida; Gentianales; Rubiaceae
Source: RefSeq, a predicted model, not a curated record
CAGAAAAGCUUUCCUUCUUCAUAGCUUGUUUGUAGAUGUUGCCAUUUGUAGAGCUAUUUCCGCUGUCCAGUUUGUAAUGCGAAUGCCAGAAUUAGCUCAUUCCGCUGUAAGCACUCAGACAAAUUAUACAGAGAGAGUAGGAGAUUUAUGUGUAUCUGUCACAAAAGAUGUUUUAGAUGCUAGCUGCAAAGUAGAUACUGAGAUUGAUGGGGCUCAGGCCACUGAUGUAGACACAGAAAAGUUAAUUGAAAGGAACCUACUGAAGGGAUCACAGCUGAUGAAAAUACUGCUGCCCAUGACAUUGCCACUCUAGGGUUUGUUAUCAUAAGAUUUUGUGGUCAUAUUGUUACCGUAAAAGUUCAAGGGAGAGAGGAUGAAAAUUUGGGUCCUCCAUUACAAAGCCUUGAACUGCUUGCUCAGCCUGAAGGAGGAGCCAACGCCCUCAACAUAAACAGUUGGUUGUAGAGAAUAAAGAACAAACAGAUUAAGGUUGAUGGUGCUGUUGUCACGGAUCCCAACACAAUCCUCAGAGCUGGCUCAGAACUCGUCUAUCACCGGCUUCCUUGGAAAGAGCCUCAUGCACCUUACCUCAGUUUGCUGGUGUUCGAUCAAAAAGGGAUAGAGAAGUUGUAUCCAUGGCACUUUGCAUUUUCCGUUUGAUGAUUUACCCCGCUGCAAAUUUAAUGUUCAGCAAGUUGCUGCUGUUGUUUAUCGCUUCAAGCUUUGACAAUGGACUUAUCAAGCUUUAAUAAUGAAUGUACUUCGGUUACCUCA